CCUACGGGCGGCAGCAGUGGGGAAUAUUGGACAAUGGGGGGAACCCUGAUCCAGCCAUGCCGCGGGUGUGAAGAAGGCCCUCGGGUUGUAAAGCACUUUCAGUGAGGAAGAACGCCUGGUGGUUAAUACCCAUCAGGAAAGACAUCACUCACAGAAGAAGCACCGGCUAACUCCGUGCCAGCAGCCGCGGUAAUACGGAGGGUGCGAGCGUUAAUCGGAAUUACUGGGCGUAAAGCGCGCGUAGGUGGCUUGAUAAGCCGGUUGUGAAAGCCCCGGGCUCAACCUGGGAACGGCAUCCGGAACUGUCAAGCUAGAGUGCAGGAGAGGAAGGUAGAAUUCCCGGUGUAGCGGUGAAAUGCGUAGAGAUCGGGAGGAAUACCAGUGGCGAAGGCGGCCUUCUGGACUGACACUGACACUGAGGUGCGAAAGCGUGGGUAGCAAACAGGAUUAGAUACCCGUGUAGUC
This 465-nucleotide ribosomal RNA is filed under the name Vreelandella stevensii. Its description in RNAcentral is "partial 16S ribosomal RNA". It matches the Rfam family "Bacterial small subunit ribosomal RNA", at positions 338 to 795 of the family's 1533-position model. Lineage: Bacteria; Pseudomonadati; Pseudomonadota; Gammaproteobacteria; Oceanospirillales; Halomonadaceae. The record is from RNAcentral.